Molecule: ribosomal RNA, 686 nt
Filed under: uncultured bacterium
Lineage: Bacteria
Description: bacterial SSU rRNA
Rfam family: Bacterial small subunit ribosomal RNA
Source: RNAcentral
UCUAGUAGUAUGCGGUGCUUCGUAAAUGCAAGUCGAACGAUUAAAAGCUCUCUUCUGACAGUGCAUAUAGUGGCCCCUGGGUGAGUAACACGUAAAUAAUCUACCCUCGAGUGGGGAAUAACGUCCGGAAACGGACGCUAAUACCGCAUAAUGCAGCGGCACCGCAAGGUGACAGUUGUUAAAGAUUUAUUGCUUGAGGAGGAGUUUGCGGCAGAUUAUCUAGUUGGUAAGGUAAUGGCUUACCAAGGCUACCAUCUGUAUCCGGUCUAAGAGGACGGUCGGACACACUGACACUGAAUAACGGGUCAGACUCCUACGGGAGGCAGCAGUCGGGAAUUUUGGGCAAUGGGGGAAACCCUGACCCAGCAACGCCGCGUGAAGGAUGAAGUUUUUCGGAAUGUAAACUUCGAAAGAAUAGGAAGAAUUAAUGACGGUACUAUUUAUAAGGUCCGGCUAACUACUUGCCAGCAGCCGCGGUAAUACGUAGGGACCAAGCGUUGUUCGGAUUUACUGGGCGUAAAGGGCGCGUAGGCUGCGUGGUAAGUCAGUUGUGAAAUCUCCGAGCUUAACUCGGAACGGCCAACUGAUACUGCUGUGCUACAGUGCAGAAGGGGCAAUCAGAAUUCAUGAUGUAGCGGUGAAAUGCGUAGAUAUCAAGAGUAAUACCUGAGGUGAAGUCGGGUUGU